AUUGAACGCUGGCGGCAGGCCUAACACAUGCAAGUCGAGCGGAUGAAGGGAGCUUGCUCCUGGAUUCAGCGGCGGACGGGUGAGUAAUGCCUAGGAAUCUGCCUGGUAGUGGGGGAUAACGUCCGGAAACGGGCGCUAAUACCGCGUACGUCCUGAGGGAGAAAGUGGGGGAUCUUCGGACCUCACGCUAUCAGAUGAGCCUAGGUCGGAUUAGCUAGUUGGUGGGGUAAAGGCCUACCAAGGCGACGAUCCGUAACUGGUCUGAGAGGAUGAUCAGUCACACUGGAACUGAGACACGGUCCAGACUCCUACGGGAGGCAGCAGUGGGGAAUAUUGGACAAUGGGCGAAAGCCUGAUCCAGCCAUGCCGCGUGUGUGAAGAAGGUCUUCGGAUUGUAAAGCACUUUAAGUUGGGAGGAAGGGCAGUAAGUUAGUACCUUGCUGUUUUGACGUUACCAACAGAAUAAGCACCGGCUAACUUCGUG
Molecule: ribosomal RNA, 484 nt
Filed under: uncultured bacterium
Lineage: Bacteria
Description: partial 16S ribosomal RNA
Rfam family: Bacterial small subunit ribosomal RNA
Source: RNAcentral